AACGAACGCUGGCGGCGUGCCUAACACAUGCAAGUCGAGCGAGAAAGCUCCUUCGGGAGUGAGUAAAGCGGCGAACGGGUGAGUAACACGUGGGUAAUCUACCUUCAGGCUUGGAACAACUCGGGGAAACUCGAGCUAAUUCCGAAUAAGACCACAGAACGUGAGUGAUGUGGUAAAAGCGGGGGCUCUCUUCGGAGACCUCGCACCAGAAGAUGAGCCCGCGGUCCAUCAGGUAGUUGGCGGGGUAAUGGCCCACCAAGCCGAAGACGGAUAGCUGGUUUGAGAGGAUGAUCAGCCACACUGGAACUGAGACACGGUCCAG
Molecule: ribosomal RNA, 322 nt
Filed under: uncultured bacterium
Lineage: Bacteria
Description: bacterial SSU rRNA
Rfam family: Bacterial small subunit ribosomal RNA
Source: RNAcentral